CUAUGAUUUAAUUUAAAUCAUGGCGGAAGGAG
This 32-nucleotide non-coding RNA is filed under the name unclassified sequences. Its description in RNAcentral is "L31-Firmicutes ribosomal protein leader". It matches the Rfam family "L31-Firmicutes ribosomal protein leader". The record is from RNAcentral.